This 2360-nucleotide long non-coding RNA is filed under the name Macaca mulatta (Rhesus monkey). RNAcentral's name for it is "lncRNA (ENSMMUG00000063646.1)". Lineage: Eukaryota; Metazoa; Chordata; Mammalia; Primates; Cercopithecidae. The record is from RNAcentral.
GUGUGCUUUGCCCAAUUCCGAUCCUGUUUCCAGAGAACACAGCUGCUUAGACAAUCUGUUAUCUUCGCGUCCUGCCUUCCUUUUGGCGCCAGAACAUCCUAGAGAUCAGGGGCCUCUCCCAUGCCCUGGAACCAUCCUCUCACUGUGCUGCUCUUCCUUGGUGCCCACAACAGAGCUCCCGAAGGCAGGCCUGGAUCAGGGGCGACUGGGGCCCUGAAGUGAGAUGGAGCAAGGCAGAGCGACCCUCGGGAGAGGGGCAUGGGGCGGCCCUGUGCUUUAGACUCAGUACCCUGUGGCUUGAGGAGGUGACACUGUGUCGACGUGCGGGUGAAGGGAGGACGGCUGAAGGACCUUGUGCUGUGCACGAAGGUGGUAUGCAAUCAGAAGACGUCUGAGGAGACAAGUAUGCGUCUCCCACCACAACAUUAUGUGAUGCUUGGAGUAAAAACAGUCAUCCCUGUUCCUACCUACAAUUGUAUUAUUCAAUAAAGAUUGCUGCCAGACAUGGUGGCUCAUACCUGUAGUCCUACCAUUUUGGGAGGCCGAGGCCGGGCAGAUCGCUUGAGACCAGGAUUUGAGACUAGCCUGGACAACAUGGUGAGCCCCCAUCUCUGCAGAAAUAAAAUAAAAUAAAAUUAGCCAGGUGUGGUGGCCUGUGCCUAUAGCCUCAGUUACUUGGGAGGCUGAGGCAGGAGAAUAGCUUGAGCCCUGGAGGUCCAGGCAACAGUGAGCCAUGAUGGCAGCACUGCACUCCAAAUUGGGUGACAGAGUGAGACCCUGUCAAAAAAAAAAAAAAAAGAUUGCAUUAUUCAAUCUUUUUUCCCAUAUAUAAUUUAUAUAGUUACAUAAUUACAUUCUAGUAUUUGCAUAUACUGAGAACUACAUAUAAUUUAGAAUUAUGCUGUUUUCACUUGUAUAUCACCUACAUUUCCCUAUAUAGAUAUAUAACAUCUCUAUUUGUCCUUUUCCACUUGACUGCUAUGUUUCUCAGAUUGAUAUACUGUGAUCUCCUAAGCCAGUUACAGAUUGAUAUGGAUUUAAAUUACUUCCUAUUUUCUGUUUUAUAAACAAUAAACACUGUUAUGAUAUAGUUUUCAUUUUUGUUUGGUUUUUGAUCAUUUCCUGUGGAAGUAUUCUCAAAGCUGAAAUUGCUGAAUUAGUGGGAAUGAACAUGGCUGUGUCUUUUUAAACGUUUUGUCAGCUUACUCUCAAAAAAGAUUACACCAAUAGGUAUUGCCACUAGCAGUAGUUAAGAGUUUGUCUCACCAUGAUUACAAAUUUUCCCAAAUUGGUAGCUUAUUCACACUGAUUGGAACAUAUGAGUUGUUCAAUAUUUUAGAAUAUGUUUAUGGGAAAGCCCUUGAAUAGAUUAAGCAAGAACAUAUAAAUAUGUAAUAAAUUCCAUACUGGAAUACAUCAGUGAUCCUUCUAGCUCUGCAUCUUGAAACCUAGUUAAGCUCUUUUAUGUUGAAUUCACCCUGAUAGAGUUUUGGAAAAUACUUGCUUUUUACUUCUGAAAGUUUUUGCAAAGGAUUAAGUUUUGUUUUUCUGAAAAGUUUUGUCUCUGAAAUUUUCUGCCUAGACUUUGGACAAGGUGUUCUAUUAAUUGUCAAAUGCAAUAGAAUUUAAUCACAUUUUCCUUUCUAGGUUACUUUAUAAGGUGUUCCUACAGGUCAUAAAAAAAUGCCCACAAGGAGCCAAAUUACUUUAUUCAUGGGUCUAAUAUUGCCUUAUAGUAUUGCUAUAUAGGUUUAGAUAAUUAUGUUGUUUUACCUUCAGUAGUCAUAUUUUGGUUAUAGGUAAAGUCAUUCCUAGUUAAAAUAGUAUGCAAAGCAAACAUUUGAAAUCACCAUUAUUCAACAUGUUUUGCUAUUACUUACAAGUAACAAUUUACAUUAUUUUAAUGUUGUAAAUAGUUGUGGAAUUUAGUCAUUUUCUGUGUAUUGAAUUAAUUACUGGCAUUAAAUAAGUAUCUUCUCUCUUCAGUAGCUUAACUCAUUUCCUGAAUCUACCCAUUUGAUAUCAUGCUUUUGAUUGGUAAAGUCACACAUAAAUAUCUAUUUUACUUUUUAUAAUAUAAUGUCAUAAAAAUAGGGAAGAUUUUCUGACAGACAUUAGCCAACUGGUGACAUUUUUAGUGAGUGCCAAAAAGUAAUAUAUGAAUAUAUGAAACAUCAAAUGUUUAGCAUAAACUUUAUAAAUAGCAGAAAUUAUUAGUAGAAGAAAUUACUCACAUAUUGUCUGCUAAAAUAAAGAUUAAAAAUUGACUAUAUGAAAAAAUAUAGUUUCUUGAGCUGAUCAAAUAAAUUGAUUAUAAUUCUUCCUUGUUUUCUGUGUCUGUGGAAGUCAUAGUAAAGCCA